This is a long non-coding RNA of Puntigrus tetrazona (Sumatra barb), 297 nucleotides long. RefSeq lists it as uncharacterized. NCBI's taxonomy places the organism in Eukaryota, Metazoa, Chordata, Actinopteri, Cypriniformes, Cyprinidae. The transcript is spliced from 3 exons. The record is from RefSeq and is a predicted model, not a curated record.
ACGACUCAGAAUAACACACACACACUUAAAUCUGUGGUCAGCAGCUUUAGUGUUGGUUAACGAUGUCUAACUGUGCAGUGUGUCAGCCAAUUUGUGUGUCACCGAUAAUUCUGCAGGCUAUUACUGAUGCGUGUGUGUGUGUACGGAGGACUAUGGACUGUUCCUAAUGGAACUCCCGACAGACUGAACAACAUGAAACAGCACAGACGUCAGCAAUGUGCCUACUGUAACCCAUUGACCACGGAUUAUUCAGCAGGGAGGAAAUUUCACAAAUUGCUGAGGUUGUUACUUGCAAAA